CACUAUCGUUAACUGAAUACAUAGGUUAACGAGGCGAACCGGGGGAACUGAAACAUCUAAGUACCCCGAGGAAAAGAAAUCAACCGAGAUUCCCCCAGUAGCGGCGAGCGAACGGGGAGCAGCCCAGAGUCUGAAUCAGCUUGUGUGUUAGUGGAACGGUCUGGAAAGUCCGACGGUACAGGGUGAUAGUCCCGUACACCAAAAUGCACAGGCUGUGAACUCGAAGAGUAGGGCGGGACACGUGGUAUCCUGUCUGAAUAUGGGGGGACCAUCCUCCAAGGCUAAAUACUCCUGACUGACCGAUAGUGAACCAGUACCGUGAGGGAAAGGCGAAAAGAACCCCGGCGAGGGGAGUGAAAAAGAACCUGAAACCGUGUACGUACAAGCAGUGGGAGCACCUUCGGGUGUGACUGCGUACCUUUUGUAUAAUGGGUCAGCGACUUAUAUUCUGUAGCAAGGUUAACCGUAUAGGGGAGCCGCAGGGAAACCGAGUCUUAACUGGGCGUUAAGUUGCAGGGUAUAGACCCGAAACCCGGUGAUCUAGCCAUGGGCAGGUUGAAGGUUGGGUAACACUAACUGGAGGACCGAACCGACUAAUGUUGAAAAAUUAGCGGAUGACUUGUGGCUGGGGGUGAAAGGCCAAUCAAACCGGGAGAUAGCUGGUUCUCCCCGAAAGCUAUUUAGGUAGCGCCUCGUGAAUUCAUCUUCGGGGGUAGAGCACUGUUUCGGCUAGGGGGUCAUCCCGACUUACCAACCCGAUGCAAACUACGAAUACCGAAGAAUGUUAUCACGGGAGACACACGGCGGGUGCUAACGUCCGUCGUGAAGAGGGAAACAACCCAGACCGCCAGCUAAGGUCCCAAAGUCAUGGUUAAGUGGGAAACGAUGUGGGAAGGCACAGACAGCCAGGAUGUUGGCUUAGAAGCAGCCAUCAUUUAAAGAAAGCGUAAUAGCUCACUGGUCGAGUCGGCCUGCGCGGAAGAUGUAACGGGGCUAAACCAUGCACCGAAGCUGCGGCAGCGACACUAUGUGUUGUUGGGUAGGGGAGCGUUCUGUAAGCCUGCGAAGGUGNNNNNNNNNNNNNNNNNNNNNNNNNNNNNNNNNNNNNNNNNNNNNNNNNNNNNNNNNNNNNNNNNNNNNNNNNNNNNNNNNNNNNNNNNNUGCUGGAGGUAUCAGAAGUGCGAAUGCUGACAUAAGUAACGAUAAAGCGGGUGAAAAGCCCGCUCGCCGGAAGACCAAGGGUUCCUGUCCAACGUUAAUCGGGGCAGGGUGAGUCGACCCCUAAGGCGAGGCCGAAAGGCGUAGUCGAUGGGAAACAGGUUAAUAUUCCUGUACUUGGUGUUACUGCGAAGGGGGGACGGAGAAGGCUAUGUUAGCCGGGCGACGGUUGUCCCGGUUUAAGCAUGUAGGCUGGUUGUCCAGGCAAAUCCGGAUAAUCAAGGCUGAGGUGUGAUGACGAGGCACUACGGUGCUGAAGUAACAAAUGCCCUGCUUCCAGGAAAAGCCUCUAAGCAUCAGGUAACAUCAAAUCGUACCCCAAACCGACACAGGUGGUCAGGUAGAGAAUACCAAGGCGCUUGAGAGAACUCGGGUGAAGGAACUAGGCAAAAUGGUGCCGUAACUUCGGGAGAAGGCACGCUGGUGUGUAGGUGAAGCCCCUGCGGGUGGAGCUGAGACCAGUCGAAGAUACCAGCUGGCUGCAACUGUUUAUUAAAAACACAGCACUGUGCAAACACGAAAGUGGACGUAUACGGUGUGACGCCUGCCCGGUGCCGGAAGGUUAAUUGAUGGGGUUAUCCGUAAGGAGAAGCUCUUGAUCGAAGCCCCGGUAAACGGCGGCCGUAACUAUAACGGUCCUAAGGUAGCGAAAUUCCUUGUCGGGUAAGUUCCGACCUGCACGAAUGGCGUAAUGAUGGCCAGGCUGUCUCCACCCGAGACUCAGUGAAAUUGAACUCGCUGUGAAGAUGCAGUGUACCCGCGGCAAGACGGAAAGACCCCGUGAACCUUUACUAUAGCUUGACACUGAACAUUGAGCCUUGAUGUGUAGGAUAGGUGGGAGGCUUUGAAGCGUGGACGCCAGUCUGCGUGGAGCCAACCUUGAAAUACCACCCUUUAAUGUUUGAUGUUCUAACGUUGGCCCCUUACCGGGGUUGCGGACAGUGUCUGGUGGGUAGUUUGACUGGGGCGGUCUCCUCCCAAAGCGUAACGGAGGAGCACGAAGGUUAGCUAAUCCUGGUCGGACAUCAGGAGGUUAGUGCAAUGGCAUAAGCUAGCUUGACUGCGAGCGUGACGGCGCGAGCAGGUGCGAAAGCAGGUCAUAGUGAUCCGGUGGUUCUGAAUGGAAGGGCCAUCGCUCAACGGAUAAAAGGUACUCCGGGGAUAACAGGCUGAUACCGCCCAAGAGUUCAUAUCGACGGCGGUGUUUGGCACCUCGAUGUCGGCUCAUCACAUCCUGGGGCUGAAGUAGGUCCCAAGGGUAUGGCUGUUCGCCAUUUAAAGUGGUACGCGAGCUGGGUUUAGAACGUCGUGAGACAGUUCGGUCCCUAUCUGCCGUGGGCGCUGGAGAAUUGAGGGGGGCUGCUCCUAGUACGAGAGGACCGGAGUGGACGCAUCACUGGUGUUCGGGUUGUCAUGCCAAUGGCACUGCCCGGUAGCUAAAUGCGGAAGAGAUAAGUGCUGAAAGCAUCUAAGCACGAAACUUGCCCCGAGAUGAGUUCUCCCUGAGACUUUAAGUCUCCUGAAGGAACGUUAAAGACGAUGACGUUGAUAGGCCGGGUGUGUAAGCGCAGCGAUGCGUUGAGCUAACCGGUACUAAUGAACCGUGAGGCUUAACCUU
Molecule: ribosomal RNA, 2836 nt
Filed under: Klebsiella pneumoniae
Lineage: Bacteria; Pseudomonadati; Pseudomonadota; Gammaproteobacteria; Enterobacterales; Enterobacteriaceae
Description: 23S ribosomal RNA
Rfam family: Bacterial large subunit ribosomal RNA
Source: RNAcentral